Capsicum annuum is the source of this 9327-nucleotide long non-coding RNA. RefSeq lists it as uncharacterized. The record is from RefSeq and is a predicted model, not a curated record. The transcript is spliced from 4 exons. Lineage: Eukaryota; Viridiplantae; Streptophyta; Magnoliopsida; Solanales; Solanaceae.
UGAAACAGGCCCAAUAAUUUAGAACAAACAGAGAAAACACAAAUAGAAAAGUAAACGAAUACUUUUUGUACUUUGUCUGAACUCCAGAAGCUUCAUCAGCUUCUCAUGAACAUAUUUGUUUUGUCCGUGUACAAUUUCUGCCCUAGCAUUGCUUCAUUUUGCUAUAUUUAGAGCUUAUUCAGAGCUUAGUACGAAAAAAAAUUUUCGGAGAUACUUUCUUUGCUGUUCCAAAAUAGAUUCUUUGUUGUGUUCUUUCUCUGCUCCAAAAUGGUGAGUUAUAUUGGUGUCGAUCGAUAAAAAUAAGCAAUUUUUGGUUUAGGAUCUUCAAUAUCUGGAUGAGCUUUAACAUCUAUUAUCCCAUACGUUGUCUACCUCGAUUUUCCAAAUUUAAGGUCCACUGCAGAUUUCCUAGUUAAAUUUCUUCAAAAAGGCCUUGUUGCAAAUGUUGGUGAUCAUCUAGAGGCUUGUGGGUAAAUUUAUUUGAAGAAUCCAUCUAGGAGGUUUUGUGAAUGCUGAAAAGGAGCCAACUUUACAGUUGCUGGUUCGAACAUACCUGCCACUGCAUCAUCUGUUAGCCCUUUUUCAUUUGGGAUUCAAGUUGCUCAGUUUUUCAGGUUCAUGAAUUGGGUUUCCGAGAUUCACACAAAGAGUAAGUUUGAUUAUGUUUCUGAUUAUCAGUGCUCAUUUGAACACAUCAAAAUCCUAUAACCAGUGAGAUACAAUUUGAUUUUCUUUGCAUCCGGAAAAUAUGAUAAGUACAUAUGAUAAUGUAUUAUUGUAUAGUAGUGUCACAUACCUGAUGCACAAAAGAAGACUACUUUAGAAUAACAUAAUAGUUAAUAGAAUAGAGGCAUGAAAUGAUCGUGUCUCUGUGAUUGUGUUUUUAUCUCUUUUCAUUAAGGUUUAGAAUUCUCUUUUCAAAUUCUUGUUUGAUUCAUCAAUGAUUUUGUAUUUUUAGAACUUAAUAUUAGUUACUUUGAUAUUUUAUUAGUUUGUAUUCCAGUAAAAUUCAUCAAAAACAAACAGUGUAGGAUGUCAAAGUUUCAGUGAAAAUCCAUGGAGGAGGAAUACGUUAACAAAAUAAAUAGAUUCAUAUGGUGCAAAUACAAGUAUGGCAUGUUUCAUGGCUCUUUAUAAAUUGUCUAUAAACAAUUAAUUCUGUCAAAUUAUUGGGAAUUAAUUAAACUGUACAUUGCCGUAGUAAUUCUAAACUUCGCCGUACGCUAAAUACUUUUCAGGUUAGAUGUCCUUGAGUUAAUACAUAUCUUAAAUAUUAGGAUUUCGAUAAUUAAUGUGUAGCAGGUUGUGUAAUGAUCUACCAAUGAACAAAAAUAACAAACUAUAUUAAAAAAAUAUCAACAAAUUCCAAGAAAAAUGAAGUGGUGAAAUCUGGAAAUGGAGAUGGGACAACCCAUGAGGAUGUUGAUGAUGAAGCAGUGGAUUGUUUGUUGAAGAUUAAGGAUGCUGUUGAAUCACUUGAAACCUAAGUUUCUUAUUUGCAGGUCUCUUCUACUUCAAUUUUGAACCUUGAAUUUUCCCUUUUAUUGGUCUAGAUGUGUGAUUAUAAAAGAUUCAUGUGUUGCCGACUUUAAUUAAUUUUGAGGAGUGGUGGUUAAGUCUGUGUACAUUCUACCCUGUCUAUAUCCCACUUGUGGGAUUACAAUGGGUAAGUUGUUGUUGUAUGCAUCUGGCUUUCUAGCUAGCUCACUCGUAAAACAAGAAUGUGAAGUUGAUUUCUGAAUUAAAUGAUAUCUAAUGAAAGAUUAAAGAUUUGAUUUUGGUACUUCCAGGAUGAAACAACAUUUUGUACUCUUGCGGAGCAGAAAGGAAUCUUAAGCUAAAAAUAGUUUCAAAAAUUAUUCCUGACCAGAGAACUGUGAGUUACUGAUUAUGCAUCUAUAUUUUGCAUCAGCUGACUCCUUCAACAAUUAAAGAGUUUGUUUACUAAAACAAUAUGACCUUUUACUCGUGAAUAUGUCUGUGCAGCCUAUUUUGAAAAGAUUAUUGUGCCCGGAGAAGGAGUACUUAUCAUUUUUCAUUAUAUAAAAAAAUGGUUGAAGAUCAUUAGAUCUGGUUGGUGAAUAAAUAAUUUGGUUUUGCUUUCAUGAAUAUUUUUUGGAAAAAGUUCUACUAAGGUGACAUUUUAAUUAUCAUUUUGCAUUUUAAAGAUCUGCAAGGACAAUGUAAUACCCUGUGCUUUCAAAGUUUACUGUGGAACCUGUGAAUCAUUCCCCAAGUCGUGAGGACUCAUCACGAGUCGUAUGAUUUAGUUGUAAUCAGGACAGUGUGAUAUGACUAAAGUACUAUUUUGGGUAUGAAUCGACCCUAGGAGUUGUCACUUGAUGUUACGAGUCAUAUAAGAAGAGUCGUAAGAUCAACAAGGUAGGUCUUAUAAGUUUCUGUCCUGGUAACGAGAGGCUGCUACAAGUCGUAAUGACAUGUUACGAGUCAUAGGGUACGACUCAUAUCUAGAUCAUUGCAUACUUUCUUUGUUUCUGCCAAAGUUACGAGUCACUAGGUCAACUUAAAAGUACCAACCCAUGACUUAUAACUUAAGACGAGGCAUUAUUUUCCUCUACCUUUAGUCGAUUAACAACACUCUUUCUUCUCCUAUCCUCAAGAACAAGUAGUCUAGGGUUUUCUUAUACAAAAGACAUCUCUCCAGUCUCUAAAUUGAGGUUCUCUUCAUAAGUCAAGUAAAUCUAGGUAAGUGGGGUUUUCAACAAGGAUACUCUUUCAUCCUUGUGCCUGAAAAACUUAAUUUUUAAAGUUGAAUUUAUAUGUUUUUGUUAGUGUUCAUACCCAAGUUCUCAUAUUCUUGAAGUAUAACAUUACCGUGUGAUUGAAGGAUUUAAAUGUAUAAGAGUUUUCAUCUAAUCAUGUUUUGACUUGCAAGAUUGCUAUUGUAAUUUGAAUUUCAUUUGUUUGACUUGAAUUUUGCUGAAAGACUUCAAUGUAAGUAUUGAGCAUGAUAUUUUCCUGUAAGUUCUAUGAAAAGAAAAAAUGAAUUUCAAGGCUUAAGCAUAAGCACUGAGUUUACAAGAAACCUAAGUUUUAAGCUUCAGUUAUGUGUAUUUCAGCAAGAUUAAAGUUUAGCUUGAUCUUUUGAUACAAGAUAAUACAACUAAUCCACAAGUAUCCUUCUGAUUUUUAAUUAAGUAAAGAGAAGCAUAAGUGGUUUUCAGUCUAUAAACCCUUGUGCUAUUUUAAGGUGGAUUUCUUAAGUAUGAACCUAUAUUUAUAUUUUAAGGAGUAGUAUUUAGCAUCGAGAAGGGAAUGUGGAUGAGCGUAUCCUAAAUUCCUAGAAACUACGAGCCACCGUAGGUUUAAGAGGCCUCGUCAGCAAGUGUCUACUUUUCCCAAUAUGGAUAAAGUAUAAUGAUCACUUAAGUUAAUGUUCUAUUCUAAUGGCAAGGGUAGAAUAACUCUUCCUAACGUGGGCAAGACGUUGGACUCCAUGAUAGCUCACAUAGUUAUGUCAGUUAGAAGAAUCUCCCACUAGAAAGACUCAAAAGUAAAAAUUUCAGAAACCAAGUGUAAUGACUCACUAAGCUUAUUCAGUAUAUUCUAUUAUUCAUGUUUUAUGAUCAUAUAGUUUUUGGUUUUAUUCAAGCCCAAGGUGAGUCCUUUACACUUGUCAUGCAUGAUUUGAAAAUAUAUAUAGUUUAUUUUUUACUCAUGCAUUCACCCCCAUUCACCCCCAUACACUCAGUAUAUUCCAAAGUACUGGCCCACACAUAUAUGUCUAUAUGCUACAUUGUCUUAUAAUGUAGGUUUUGGUGCUCGUUUCUAGCAGCACGAUUGAUCAUGGGCAUCACUUCUAGCAUCUCGACAUUUGAGUAUGCCUCCUCGUCGAGCUAACGCCCGUAAAAAUGGUGAUCAACCAUCACUCUACACAUAUCCUCUCAAUGAAAAUAUCUCGCAAACAGAAUUUUGGGCUGCCUUUCAAGUGUUGGCCCAAGAUGUGAAUGCUAAUGUUCUGGAAACCAACAGAUAACAGUUCCACUUCAACAAAAUGGUAACUUAGCUACAACCAGGAUUCAAGAUAUAAGGAUGAAUCUAUUUGAGUUCCACGAGUCAAAGGUGGAUGAGGAUCAUCAACUAUUUAUUAACGAGGUAAGAAAGAUUACUCAGAUCAUGCAUAUUAUAGAAGAGGAGAGUGUGGAACUGUAAUCGUAUCGGUUGAAGGAUGCUGCUUAUGAUUGGGUCAUUAUGUGGAAGGAUGGUAGGGGUGAGAACGCUGCUUCUAUGAGUUGUCAGGUGUUUUAGCAUGCUUUUUUGGAUAUGUUCUUUCCUUAUAAGAUGAGGGAGGCCAAGGUGGAGGAGUUUAUGAACCCGAAGUAAGGUUCUAUGAUAGUGAAUGAAUGCUGCCUUAAGUUCACUUAACUAUAUGUCCAGAGUUGUCAUCUGACUGUAGAGCUUGUAUGAGCAAAUUUGUUAUUGGGGUAUCAGAUUUGGUGGUCAAAGAAUGUCGGGCUGCCAUGCUGAUCGGAGAUAUGGAUAUUGCUUGGUUGAUAAUGCAUGUGCAACAGAUUGAGGUAGAGAAGUUAAAGGAAUGAGAGAAGAGGAACAAAAGAGCUAGGACCAGAUAGUUUGAGUAUAAUCAAUAAAGGUCCAAAGGGGGAAGUCGUUCACAAUUUCAGGGUCACUCAUCAUUUCCUGCACCAUCCUCAGCCAGUGCCCCUGUACCUCGGACCAGGCAGGAACAGUGAGGCAGGACUUCGAGUUCCAGAUCUUAGAAUAGUAUGGUCAGGAGGCCUAGUUAUCAUAUAUGUGCAAAGUGUGAUAGGCACCUAUCCUGGUGAGUGUUUGUUGGGCAAAGGGGGUUACUAUGGUUUUGGCAAGUUGGGCCACAGGAUCAAGGAGUGUCCGUAUGCCAAGCAGGGAAGUAGGGAUAUUUAUCUUCAGACUCUGGCUAUCAGCAGCUCAACCAGGCUGCCCAGUCCCUUCGUAGGGUGCAUCAUCCAGCAUCGGUGGCAGUCAGCGCCAAAAUCAAUUCCAUGGUUUGCCUCACCAGAUGUUGUCACUAGUAUACGUCAUACCUUUUACCUUGAUAUGUAUGUGUUGUUAGACCUGGGAUCAAAUAUCUCGUAUGUAACUCCACCGGUUGCUGUAAAGUCUUGAAAAUCUUCCUAAGCCUUUCUUACUCUCUACCCUAGUGGGUGAGUUCGUUAUCGCUAGAUGGAUUUAUAGGGAGUGACCUAUUACUGUUCUCCAUAAAUUCACACUAGCAGAUUUAAUAGAGAUAGAAAUGGUAUAUUUUGACAUCAUUUUGGGCAUAGAUUGGCUCCAUUCAUGCUAUACAUUAAUAGAUUGUCGCACCCACGUGGUGAAGUUUCAGUUUCCUAAUAAGAUAGUUUUUGAGUGCGAGGGUAGUCUUUUGUCUCCCAAAGGUCAUUUCAUCUCUUAUCUUACGACCAGGAAGCUAAUAUCAAAAUGGUGUAUUUACCAUUUAGUUUGAGUAAAAGAUAUUAAGUCUGAAGCCCCAACAGUUCAAUCAGUCCAUGUAGUCAAUGAGUUUCAAGAGGUUUUUUCUAAAGAUCUGCCAGGAGUAACUCUAGAUAGAGAAAUAGAGUUCGGUAUUAAUUUUCUUCCUGAUACUCAGCCCAUUUCUAUCCCUUUAUAUCGCAUGGCUCCGACUGAACUUACAGAGUUAAAAGAGCAUCUUAAAGAUCUCUUAGAUAAGGUUUUCAUUAGACCUAGUGUUUCCCCGUGGGGCGCUCCACUUCUAUUCGUGCGUAAGAAAGAUGUCACUCUCAGAAUGUGUAUAGACUAUAGACAGCUAAACAAGGUUACCAUCAAGAAUAAGUACCCUAUUCCUAGAAUUGAUGAUCUAUUCGAUCAGUUUUAGGAUGCCUGAUAGUUUUCCAAGAUUGACCUUAGGUUAGGGUACCACCAGUUGAAAGUCAGGGAGCACGACAUUCUGAAAAUGGCUUUCUGAACAAGGUACAAUCAUUUUGAGCUCGUGGUUAUGUCGUUUGGACUAACAAAUGCUCCUGCAACCUUUAUGGAUUUAAUGAACAAGGUUUUUAAUCAAUACUUGGACUUGUUUGUCAUCGUAUUUAUAGAUGAUAUACUGGUAUAUUCUUGGAGUGAGAAAAAGCAUGCAAAUCAUUUUAGAGUAGUGCUGCAAACCCUUAAGGACUAUCAAUUAUAUGCGAAAUUUAGGAAGUGUGAAUUUUGGUUGGAGUCUGUUACCUUCUUGGGGCACAUCAAUUCAGGGGCUGGUAUUUAUAUGGACCCUCAAAAUACUAAUGUAGUGAAGCACUGGCCUAGACUCAUUAGUCCAUCCGCCAUCAGGAGCUUUUUGGGUUUGGUUGGGUACUAUAAAAGAUUUAUUGAAGGGUUUUCCUCCAUAGCCGCACCAUUGACUAAGCUGGCACAAAAUAAGAUAAAGUUUAUAUGAUCGGAUAAAUGUAAGAAGAGUUUCCAAGAAUUGAAGGAUAGAUUGACUUCAGCACCAGUGUUAGCCCUACCAGAGGGUUUAGAUGGAUUCGUGGUGUAUUGUCAUGCUUCUAGAGUUGGGUUAGGCUGUGUGUUUAUGCAAUUCGGUAGAGUAACAGCUUAUGCCUCCUAGUAACUUAAGGAUCACAAAAAGAACUACCCAACUUACGAUUUGGAGUUAGCUGUUGUGGUGUUUGCUUUGACGAUUUAGAGGCACUACUUUUAUGGUGUGCAUGUUGAUGUUUUCACUGACCACAAAAAUCUUCAGUAUGUAUUUUCUCAGAGGGAGCUAAAUCUUUAUCCAAGAAGGUGGUUAGAGUUAUUAAAAGAUUAUGGAAUAAAUGUGCUUUAUCAUCCAGGUAAGGCUAACAUAGUGGUGCACCCACUGAGUAGGAUAUCUAUGGGUAGUGUGUCUCACGUGAAAGAGGAAGAAUAGGAGUUGGCCAAAGAGGUGCAUAGGUUAACCCGUUUAAAAGUAUUUGCUCUACACGGAUGAUGGAGGAGUAGUGGUUCAGAACGGUUUAGAAUCAUCUUUGGUAGUGGAAGUAAAGGAGAAGCAGCGUAAUGAUCCCAUGCUUAGCCUAAUAGUGGAAGCAGUCCAGCAACAGAAGGUCGAGGUUUUCUCCCUAAGGGAAGAUGAUGUACUUCACUAUCAAGGUAGGCUUUAUGUUCCCAAUGUAGAUGGGUUGAGGGAAAAGAUACUAGCAAAGGCUCAUGGUUUGAAGUAUUCUCAGCCUUGUGCUACUAAGAUGUACCGUGAUUUGUGAGAAGUUUAUUGGUGGAAUGGUAUUAAAAAGGACAUAGCAGAGUUUGUAGCCAAGUGUCCCAAUUUCCAUCAAGUUAAAGUUGAACAACAGAGGUCCAGUGGUAUGCUACAUGAGAUUAGUAUCCCUACUUGGAAGUGGAAGGGUUGAAUAUGGAUUUUAUCAUAGGGUUGCCUCAUACUAGAUAUUAGCAUGAUGCAAUUUGGGUCAUAGUCGACCGAAUGACCAAAUCAACUUAUUUCCUACCUGUUAAGACUUCAGAUAUGGUAGAAGAUUAUUCCAAAAUAUACAUUCACGAGUUAGUAAAGCUUCAUGGGAUAACCUUAUUUGAUUAUUUCAGACAGAGGCAUGAAAUUCACUUCCCAAUGUUGGCAAUCAUUUCAGAAAGAACUUGGUACAAAGGUUAAGCUUAGUACUGCUUUUCAUCCGCAGACCGAUGGUUAGGCUGAAUGCACAAUUCAGACAUUGGAAGACAUACUAAGAGCAUGUAUUUUAGACUUUAAAGGAAGUUAGGAUGAUUGUUUACCUUUGAUCGAGUUUGCUUAUAAUAAUAGUUACUAUGCCAAUAUUCAAAUGGCUCUAUUUCAAGCAAUGUACAUGCAUAGGUGUAGAUUACCCAUAGGAUGGUUUAAGGUUGGUGAAGCCGCAUUGAUUGGUCUAGAAUCUAUUCUUGAAGCUAUGGAAAAGGUUUAGUUGAUUCGUGAAAGACUAAAAACUGCUCAGAGCCAUCAGAAAUCAUAUGCAGAUGUAAGAAGGAGAGAGCUUAAGUUUGAAGUAGCUGAUUGGGUAUUCUUGAAGGUGUCUCUUAUGAAAACGAUAAUGAGAUUUUGAAUAAGAGAAAGCUGAGUCCCUGAUUUGUUGGUCCGUGUGAUAUUGUAAAAUAUGUAGGAGAGGUCACUUAUGAAUUGGACCUUUCUCUAGAGUUAGCUUCGAUUUACCCAGUUUUCCAUGUUUUGAUGCUUAAGAAAUAUAUUGGGAAUCCGUCCUUAGUAGUUCCCCUAUAGAGUAUUGGGGUCAAAGAUAGAUUAUCGCAUGAAGAGAUUCUUGUCGAGAUACUUGAUAGGCAAGUUUGAAGACUAAGGAAUAAGGAUGUAGCGUCAAUAAAUAUUCUUUGGAGGAACCAGUUGGUCAAAGGGGCCACUUGGGAAACUUAAGUAGACAUGAUGACUAUGUACCCUCAUCUCUUUUCUUUCGAUUCAUUUCCUACCGAAGGUAAAUUGCUAUUUCCAAAAAAUUCUUUCUCCUUAAGUUUGUUUAAGUAUUCCUUUAUCGUAUCAUGUGUUUGUGGGGCUUGAAAUCCCAGUGCUAAGUUAUAAGCUUAAUUGUAAGAUCAGUAUGGGGGGGGGGGUCGAUUCUGUUACAAGAUUCCUAUUUAAAUUUAUUCUCAUUUGAGGACGAAUGUUUCAAGGGGGAGAUAUUGUAAUACCUUGUGCUUUCAAAGUUUACCAUGGAACCUAUGACUCAUUCGCCAAGUCCUGAGGACUCAUCACGAGUCAUAUGAUAUAGUCGUAACCAGGAUAGUGUGAUAUGACUAAAGUACUCUUUUGGAUAUGAAUCGACCCCAAGAGUCGUCACUUGAUGUUAUGAGUCGUAUAAGGAGAGUCGUAAGAUUAGUAGGAUAGGUCCUCUAAGUUUCUGUCCAGGUUACGAGAGGUUGCUACAAGUCGUAGUGACAUGUUGCAAUUCAUAAGCUAUGACUCGUAUCCAUACCAGUGCAAACUUUCUUUGUUUUUGCCAAGGUUAUGAGUUACUAGGUUAACUCGUAACCAGAUAUUAUAAGUCGUGAGAUGACUCAUGCCGACCGACGGAGAAGUUGGCAUUUUGGGCUUUUACCCUCUUAUAACUUCCAACCCACGACUUAUAACUUAAGAAGUGGCAUUAUUUUUCUCUACCUUUAGUCGAUUGACAACACUCUUUAUCCUCCCAUCCUCAAGAACAACAAGGCUAGGGUUUUCUCUCAUAAAAGAUAUCUCUCUAAUCUUUAAGUUCAGGUUCUCUUCACAAGUCAAGUAAAUUCAGGUAUGUGGGAUUUUGAACAAGGAUACUCUUUCAUCCUUGUGUGUGAAAAAUUUGAUCUUUAAAGUUGAAUUUAUAUGUUUUAGUUAGGGUUCAUGUAAUA